RNAcentral lists this ribosomal RNA (271 nucleotides) under uncultured bacterium. RNAcentral describes it as "partial small subunit ribosomal RNA". It matches the Rfam family "Bacterial small subunit ribosomal RNA", at positions 26 to 285 of the family's 1533-position model. The record is from RNAcentral.
AGAAUCAACGCUGGCGGCGUGCCUAACACAUGCAAGUCGAACGCGAAAGUGGAGCAAUCCAUGAGUAGAGUGGCAAACGGGUGAGUAACGCGUGGGCGACCUACCUUCACGUGGGGGAUAACCUUCCGAAGGAGGGCUAAUACCGCAUAACAUCCUGCUUUUAGUAUAAGCGGGUAUCAAGCCGGGGAUCGCAAGACCUGGCGCGAGAAGAGGGGCCCGCGUCCGAUUAGCUAGUUGGUGAGGUAACGGCUCACCAAGGCUCCGAUCGGUA